Molecule: long non-coding RNA, 1570 nt
Organism: Magnolia sinica
Lineage: Eukaryota; Viridiplantae; Streptophyta; Magnoliopsida; Magnoliales; Magnoliaceae
Exons: 3
Source: RefSeq, a predicted model, not a curated record
UUCCCUUUACUUGGGCCUGACUUGGGCCGCGGGCCUCUUAUUUCCCUUUUAUUAGUUCUCUUUUAGUUUUGUUUCCUUUUUACCCUUUUCUCUAAGGAUAAUUUAUGUAAUUUUGCCAUUCACUUAAUAUAUAAAGAGAGAGGGACAAGCCUCUCUGAGUUUCUUUUCUUUCCAAGUUCUUUCUUUCCUCUAACAUGGUAUCAGAGCAAAAAGGUCCCUAGGGUUUCUUAUCUCUUGAUCUCUUCCCUUUUCCUUCUAAUCUCUCCUCCUCCUCCUCCUCAUCUUCUUCUUCUUUUCAUGUAACCUCUCCUGGUUUGAGAAUCUUAACCUUUUAAUCACUCAUUAUAUGUGACUUGUGGGGGGUGGUCUGCGACUGUGGUGUCCUACAGAUCUUGUUGAAGUUUUUGCUGGAAAUUCUAGAUUGAUUUGUUCCCUAUGGUUGGAUCAAAAACAGCAAUAAGGGUUUGCUGGUCAUUAUUGUUUGGACAGUUUUUUGGGCAUCUUUCUUUCAGAUUUACAGGAAUCUCCUCGUGGAGCUGAAGAUGAAAAAGUUGCUCGGUGGCGGGCAUGAGAUUGAUGGUUUAUACAUUUUUCGUUUGAAUGCUUCAAGUGAGCAUCUUAGUGUCAUGAAUGAAGACCUUUAUCAUUGGCAUUGUACAUUUGAUCGACCUCCAAGUCUAGAAUUGCAAUCUUUAUUAUUAACAUCAGUCAAGUCUGGUGAUCUUAAAAUUUUAAAAUGUGAGGCAUGUGUUUUAACCAAACACCGUAGGUUUGUCUAUUUUCCUGUGGAGAAACAUUCUAGUAGAAUUUUUUUUCUUUAGUUCAUUCGGAUAUUUGAAGUCCAGUUCCUAUUAUUUCUACUGGAUUUAAAUACUUUGUUUUUUUUUAUUGAUGAUACAUCCCAUACUACGUGGACUCAUUUGAUGAAAUGUAGAGAUGAGGUUAGCUCUAUUUUUAAAGUGUUUCAUAGUUGAAUUAAAAAUCAAUUUAAUGUGAGUAUUGGUACUCUUUGUACAGAUAAUGUAAAAGAAUACAUUUCCUAUACUAUGAUAUCUUAUCUUUAAGAGCAUAGUAUUAACUCUUAGAUCACAUGUGCAUAUACCCCACAACAAAAUGGCAUGGCUGAAAGGAAGAAUAGACAUCAUUUAGAAGUCACUCGGGCUCUUCUUUUCCUCCCACUAAAGUUCAUGUUGGAAAGUCUCACAUUUGAUAUUUUUUUGACUUCUAUCCAAUCUCUGACAUUCCCUUGUGUAUCUUUGAGUGUGUAUAUAAUGUCCAUAACACUGAUUCUCUUAGAAACAAAUUGUCAAAUAGAGCUAUCAAAUGCAUUUUCUUAGGAUAUUCAUCUUCACAAAAAGGGUAUAAAUGUCUUGAUCCUCUUAUGAAAAGUGUUGUCUUUAUGGAUGUUAAAUUUGUGGAAGAUGCUCUCUACUUUUCUAAUAGAAAUGGGGAGACAUUCCAUGGUUCUUCAUGUUCCUGCUCUUGAGUCUAAUCAUAUAGUGUUCGUCUUCUGCACCUGACAAUGCUAGAAAUAAGGUUGGUACUAAUUCCACUAAGUCAAACUUAAAAC